UCUCCCUCUCUGUAUCUUGUUAUCUUCUUCUUUUUCUACUCUUCAUUCUUCCCUUUUAUUCUCUCUUUGUUUUAUUCUUUUUUAAUUCUCUACAUUAAUGAAAUAAAUAUAACUCCUAAAGAAAUUUAUUUCACUUUAACCUAAUUUUUCAAGUUGGGUUUCUAAGAAUUCAUUCAAUCAUCAUAUAUUUUGUAGAUGACUUAAGGGAUUGAAAGUUCUACAAAUGCACAUAAAUUAUUUUGGAGUUCACAUAUUGUGAGGUAUUGCUAAUGGAAUUUGAUGGACAUUUGUAUCAGCUUUCGGUUCGUUUGGAUACUUGGAUUUUCUACAUACAUAUUUGUAUGUGUUUGAUUUACGGGUUCUUUCCACUUUCAAUUUUUUUCGUCGAAGUUUAUGCAUAUGUUUAAUUUUAUAAUCGAAUUUCCCCAUGUAUCUUCAAGCUAAGCAAGUAAAGAAGAAGCCUGGAUAUAUGUGGAACAUUUCAAAUUUCGAGCUCCAAAUAAGUUUUAUCAUCAACUUCAUGAUUAUUUUUGUGGUACUUUAUUUACAGUCUUCGUGGAACAGAGAACUAAAUCCUAAUUCAGAACAUUUAUAUCUGCCUAUUAUAAACAUGUUACUGUAUCACCACACUAUUAAUUAUUAAAAUGAGAGCUUGCAAAACUCAUUUAGACCAAAGAGAGCUACUUCAUUUUUAUUUGUUUUAGCGACCUGGUGCAAAUUAGAACAAUAUUGAGCAUUAUAACAUUUUUUAUUUUACCUUUUUAGAAGUGGGAGUUGUGCUAGGACGAACACAACACUAAAAAUUGGUACCACUAUUUAGAAGUGGGAGUUGUGCUAGGAGCAAAUUGUACUGUAACCAAAGACAUUUCAAAUUGUAUUGUGAGGCCUCAUAAUUUUUGGCCCAAUUUGAUUGGGUAUUAACACUUGGAGGCUCUUUUAUUUCCACGUGUGAGCAAUUGAUAUUGCUUCAGGUAAUAGGUAUAGAAUUAUUGUGGAUUUUUCUACAAACUGUACUGCUGACUUUUUGUCAAAGAGGAGCCACAAAUCAGAUAUAGUACACCAUUUCUACACCUACUAUCAGUUACCUACCUCUUGCGGCUAAAGGAAGCUACAUCUUGAAAAAAAAUGGGCAUGUCAAAUUUUCGAAGGAAGAAGCUGGAAAGGAUCAAGUAGAGAGGUGAAUUUGAAAGUAUACUCAAAUUAGUGGACCUAUUGUUUUAUGUUAUGAGAAAACUUAUCACCUCUAAAGCAAAAAUGCAGAAAAUGUGCAGAGGAUAAAUCAUUAGAUUUAUUAUUUCAAAACUUUCAAGACAUGAUUCAUGAAUUAUUUGGAUUUUUUCUUACUGUUACUUGAAUUUUAGUGUUAGAAUGGUAUUAUCGAUCUUCACAUUUUGUGAUGUAUGAACUCAUGUUCAUUUCGUAUUAUCAUGUCAACUGCUUUUCCUAGCAUACAUAUGAUAAACGAAGAAAAUUUUCACAAACCCAAACGAUACUUAAAAUUGGUUUGUUUGUUUUGUUUAUUGGUUGUGAUUCAUGUAUUAUGAGACAUGGUUGUAAUGUGUUUAAAGCUUCAUAUUCAGAAAGUUUCUAGCAAUGAAAAAAGUUUUAUGGAAAAAGCUUUUAAAGUACCCUAACCACAAACAUUUUGUUCAACAUGACAUCUACGGAUAUGCAUGAUUACCAUGACGGCAUGACCAGACAACUGGUUUGCAGCAUCUUUGGACCAUGGUACUUUGUAUAACCAAGAGCAAGUAAGAGAUAUAGAUGAUUACGAGACACCGAAGAGAGUUAAAUGUUUGCCUUCCAGAUGAUGCAUGAUACUAAUAGUAGAUUGAGUUUUGUUAUUCCUUUCCUUUCAGUAAGUACCUCCAGUCCUCAAUCUAUUGGUAUAAGUUCAUCAGAGGAAUGAAAUAUAGGCAUUGAUUGUAAAUGAAAUAAAGUUGUGUUUUUAUUUUUGUUCCAAGUUAUAUGUGCUGAAAUUGUAAGAGUUUCAUAUGGAAUAUUUGAAUUUCCACUUAUUUUGGAGAUGAUGAUGAUAUCAAGAAGCUUGAGGUGGAAAGGGUAUUGUCAUUAGUUAUUAGUUUUUGCUUGAUUUUGAUUUUUUGUGUUUUGGGUUACUGGAAUCUUUGCUUAUCUGCAAACUCAAAGGUUAUCUCUUUUUCUAUAUUAUGGGGUUUAAUUGAACUGAUUAUUUUUUGCUCCAACUUUUCAUACAUAUGCUACUCAUUUAGACCUGAUUUAUACUAGAUGUAUUCAAUUCGCCUAAAAGCUCUAGCCCUAUUUGUAGUAUUAUAUUACAAUGUUGAAGAAAGUUUUGGAACAGAUUGGAGUGCCCUGCCUAACUUCAUGGCUCAAAGGAAACAAAAAGGAAAAUGAAGGAGAAACCAGAUAUGAAGAUCUAUGUAAUUUCAUGACAACUCUAAAUUACCUUUAAGAUCAGAUUUAUUUCUUUCUAGAUGUAUCAGAAAAGAUGCUCAGUGGACUACACUUGAUUUAUCACAUUCUCCAAAAGCAGACUUGUAAACAUUGAUAUUAUAAAAAAGACCUAUUUUUAUUUUCUC
Molecule: long non-coding RNA, 2561 nt
Organism: Solanum stenotomum
Lineage: Eukaryota; Viridiplantae; Streptophyta; Magnoliopsida; Solanales; Solanaceae
Exons: 3
Source: RefSeq, a predicted model, not a curated record